CUUGGCGACCAUAGCGCUUUGGACCCACCUGACUCCAUGCCGAACUCAGUAGUGAAACGAAGMAGCGCCGAUGGUAGUGUGGGGUCUCCCCAUGUGAGAGUAGGACAUCGCCAGAU
This 116-nucleotide ribosomal RNA is filed under the name Salinivibrio kushneri. Lineage: Bacteria; Pseudomonadati; Pseudomonadota; Gammaproteobacteria; Vibrionales; Vibrionaceae. The record is from RNAcentral.